CUUCUCGAGUUUACCUUUAUUAACCGGAAGGGACCCCAGAGGGGGACUCGGGUGAGGGUGUGGCCUGGAGGGGAGGCCACGCCGGAAGGGAACUUGGGCCCUGCCUUGCCCUGUGGCCGGACGCAGGGUGGGCACCUCCUGGACGCAGGGCCAGCCCUCAGCACCCACCUGCCGGCCCCAGCUCCCCUCCGAGAGUGGCCUUCCGGAGGGCAGCUACAGGAAUGAGCCAACAGGGGCCUGACUGUUGGCCAUAGGGUGACAGUCCUGGGAGCCCAGAGGCGGGGGGCGCAGGUGUCCCUCCAGGUAGAGGACAGCUUGAUCCUUUACCCUGGGCAGCCCUGGGCUGCCGCAGGCUGGCAGUCUGGGUGGUGGUUUCUGAUGAUGUGGCUGCCCUCUGCUCCCUGGGGGUCUGGGAGGGGACAGAAUGGAGGGGCUGGUGGGUGACCCCCGCUGGGAGGACAGGGCUGUGUCACCGCAGCUCUGCUUACCUGGCUCAGAAAUGAGGGGCUUCAGGGCACUUCAGGGGUGGCUUCUCUCCCUGGGCAGGGGCCUGGGCAGGAUGCCCUGGGGGUUGGGGUGCAAGGGCUCUGGAUGAGAAGGGCCCGGGGGCCCCCCACCCCCAGGCGUCAGUUCUGCUGCCCUCUCCACCACAGGAGGAGGUCCCGAGCUGUCCCUCUGUCUUGGGAUGGCUUGCUAGUGUUAGGUGGUGGUGGCCAUGGCUGUCCCCAGGGCCUGGGGGAUGUGUCCCCAGGCAUGACUGGCCUGGCAUCCGUCCUGGUGGGAGACCCCUUUCUCGGGGUCGGCACUGAAGUCGGGGGCGGGCUUCAUGGGCCCCAAGACAUCCCGGUCGCCGGAUGGAGCUGCUCACGGCAGGACGGGCCUCGCUCCUCCUUUGCCAUUUGGGGGCCCAGCCUGGGCGGGACUUGGCAUCUGGAGACGGGAAGGGCUGGGGCUGUGGCGCUGGGGCAGCUGCUCACGGAGGCCUUUCCCCGGGGUCAGGAUGGGGUGGGGAGAAGCCACUUUUUUGUCUUCACACUUGCUUGGAAAUAACGUCACAGUUGCAGAAAGGCUGUGAGAGCACGUCGUCCGCCCAUGUGUCCCCACGCCCUGGAUCCCCGGCUUGCUGGGCGUGCGUGGGGUGCGCGCAUGUGUUGUAACGUGUGUAGGUGUGUGCCUGUGUCGCGUGAGAGCGAAGGUAUGUGUGGGUGUGUUGGCCGGUGUGUGUUGUGUGUGCAGGCUGGGCAGGUGUGGGUGUUGGGCACACAAGAGUAUAGGUAGGAAUCGCUCUGUAUGUGUGUAGGGGUGUGUGUGUGUGUGUGUGUACAGGUAGGUUUGUGCUGUGUACAUGUGGGUGUGCUCGUGCACGUGUGUUGUGUGUGUACCCGUGUUGGGUGCAUGUUCUCCUGUGUGAGGUCUCUGCGGGGCUCUCGUGUGUGUUUGGUGCACACCAGGCUCCAGAGAGUGGCUGCGGCUGUGGCAGUUCCCCUAAGGCACCAUCUGCGCCCAGUUUGGUCAUAAGCGGUGCUGGUGGCGCCUUGGGGUGAGCAGGAAGCGUCUCGGCCCUGCUUCCCGGUGGACGGAGCCUCGAGGUCGUGCUCAGCCCCCUUACCUGCUCUGGUCGCUGACCCCCAGCUCCUCGUCACCGGCCCCACUCCUCCAGCUCCUUCCUGUGGGCCCCCUGGGUGGCUGGUCCCUCGUAGGCCUCCUCAGGAGAUGGGGACACGGAGGACAGCCGGGAGCCCGGGGCCCAGGGCUUGGUGGCCAGCAGCCCCAGGCUGUAGCCCAAGGAAGCAGAAAUGGGUUUCGUCCCAGGGCCAGUGCCGAGGGAGGGGGCGCCCGCCAGCAGAGGCGGGGGCAGGGGCCCAGGGCCCGGCCUGCUGGGGGAUUCGCUGCGGUGUCUCCUUGCUCCCGUGAGACUGGCCACCCCCCCUGCAGGAGGACUGCCAUCCACGCGUGGCCUGCCUGGAUGUGGCAAGGAGGGAUGGCAAAGAUUCUGGUGUGGCCUCGCGUCGUGCCCGAGGCUGGGAUGGCCCCACCAGAGGACAGUUUCCAGGGAGUGGCCAGGGCCCCUGGCUUGCCCCCUUUUGUUGGCUGAAUGGCACCCUUUGCCUGGUCCCCCGCUUCUCCUCCCCAGGGGCUGAUGUCAGGCCUCCCUCCUGCCUGGCCUGCUGCCGUCGCCUGAACGCUGUCACUGCCUAGUGAAGAUCCCUCAGGGCCUCCCACGGUCCCCAAGCCCCGAUGUCACUGGAGCCUGGAACCUAGCCAGCCCCUGGAGCGCUGGUCACUGGCCUUCAAAGGGACAGGGCUCAUUGACACAGCCCCUGCCACUGAGGUCCCUCAGGGUCACAGAGUGAGCAGAUGGCGACAGUACCCAGCUGGCUGCUGCUGGAACUCAGCAAAAGGAAGAGGCCGGCAAGGAAGGAAGCUCGCUGGGACUUCUUCUGGAGAAUUCGAGGGCGGGGAGGAGCCGGUGGGCUCCCGCGGGCAGGGGUUGGGGGCCUGGGGGCCUGAGGGCGGGGCACCGGCAGCAGGCAGGGUGGGUGAGGGGCUUGGGCUGCGAGGGCCAGCGGUCAGGGCAGCGGGCAGGGAGGCCAGGGUCUAGGGCGUCCCUCAGCCACAGCCCUGCCCCAAGCAGGCCGUGUGUCUGGCCCCGCCUCCAAGAGUCAGGGUCCGGGGCCCAGCCUUUUGAGGGACUUCCUGGUGCUCAGGGUUCCUGCUGCACAGGAGGUAGGGACACAGAUGGGGGGGUGGGAGGCACUGUGGGCACUGCAGGAAGACAAAUGGCCACCUGGCCUUCCUGGGACAGUCCCCUGCUGGCGCCCUCCUCCUGGGCAGUGCGGGAGCAGGGAAGCUCAGGGCUGGCCCCAACCACGCCGCUCCUGGUGGCAGCACUCCCGGGGGUGGGGGUGGCUCAGAGCUGGCUUUGCUCUGGCCUCUUUUCAGUUUUCUGCCCGCUGGCCUGGUGGCCUCCAGGAUGCGGUGGGGGGUGCUGGGGGGAGGUCCUACUGGGCCUGAAGGGCAGAGCCUGGCCCGUGAGGAAGGUAGGCAGGCCUGCUGCCCUGGACCACACACCGGGUCCUUGUGGGGCCUCUGGCUGCCAGUGAGGGACCCGAGGGUGGGGCUUCUUGGGGGGAGGGGAGUAGGAAGCGCCCUAAGGAGAGCCUGUCCCUCGGACGCCUGCCACUGGGGUGGUCAGGGCGGCCUCUGUGAGACGGGCGGAGCCGAGGUCUGAAGGGCUAUUUGGGGAGGGGGUGGCGAGGGGGAGGGCUUUCCAGUCAGUACAGCUGUGAGUCCAAAAGGCCCUGCUUCUUCCUGACCCUCCAGCCACUCUCUGCGUGCGUGCACGCGCACACACACACACACACACAGCAACACAAAGAGAUGGGUGCAUGAGCAAACACCCACAUACCCUCGUGUGCACACAUGUAACCCAUCACAUACAGACACACAUGAACCCAUGCAAAUCCACACGUCUGCAUGUACACGUGGGCCCUGGUAAUGCUAGGGGUUGGUUGUAAAGAUGCUAAUAGUCCAGGAAGAAGAGAGGCCCCUGGAGGCUCCUGCCUGAGCCUCUGUCUGAGGCAGCUGCACAAGCAAGGGGGGACGCACCUGGGACAGGCCUUCUGUGGGCUCCUGGGGCCUCAUCUCCAGUCUGUGGUCAGGUGGGCUCUGAGAGCCAUGGCCACUGGCUGCCACAUCUUCAAACCAGGAGGCAGGGCUUAUGGCCCUGGGGGUUCUGCACCCCUCUGGCUGCCAGGACAGGGGUCUUCCCUGGCACUUUGAAGGCUUGUGGGGAAAGGCCCUUGGAGGCUGCCUGAUGGUCGUCCGGGUCCGGGGCUGCCUGGGCAGUGAUGGCAGGGGCCUCCAUGGCCUGGUGAGAGCGGCCCUAUGUGGGGUUGGGGAUAUGACCGCCACACCCAGAGUGCCCCACACUUCACCACUCAACUCUCAGUGCUGCCCCACCCCCUCCCUGCCUCUCCUGUGUCCUCAGCAUGUGGUCACCCUCCUGGGAGCAACAUGGAUCUUUUGAGUGACCCGUGGGUGACCACAGGGCCAGUGGGUCAGCAUCCUUUUCAUUCUGCUCGCCCACCCUGUUGCUUCAAAGGACUGAAAACAGGAUGAGCCAGAGGGAGUCUGAGUGACCUGUGAGGUCCAUGAUGCUAAUGGUGCUGCACCUGUCACUGAAAAUGACGGUGGUGAUGGAGUUGCUGCUGGUGAUGGAGGUGGAGGUGGUGGUGGUGGAGGAGGUGGUGGUGGUGGUGGAGGUGGAGGUGGUGGUGGUGGUGGUGGAGGUGAUGGAGGUGGUGGUGGAGGGGGUGGUGGAGGUGAUGGAGGUGGUGGAGGUGGUGGAGGAGGUGAUGGAGGUGGUGGAGGGGGUGGUGGAGGGGGUGGAGGUGGGGGUGGGGGUGGUGGGGGUGGUGGGGGGGGGGGUGGUGGUGGUGGUGGAGGAGGUGGUGGUGGUGGUGGAGGUGGUGGAGGAGGUGAUGGAGGUGGUGGUUGUGGUGGAGGUGGUGGAGGUGGUGGAGGAGGUGAUGGAGGUGGUGGAGGGGGUGGUGGUGGUGGAGGUGAUGGAGGUCGAGGUGGAGGUGAUGGAGGUGGAGGUGGAGGUGAUGGAGGUGGUGGUGGUGGAGGAGGUGGUGGUGGUGGAGGUGGGGGAGGUGAUGGAGGUGGUGGUGGAGGUGAUGGAGGUGGUGGUGGUGGUGGGGGUGGUGGUGGUGGUGGUGGGGGUGGUGGUGGUGGUGGAGGAGGUGGUGGUGGUGGAGGAGGUGGUGGUGGUGGAGGUGGUGAUGGAGGUGGUGGAGGUGGUGGGGGAGGUGAUGGAGGUGGUGGUGGAGGGGGUGGAGGUGGUGGUGGAGAUGGCGGUGGAGGUGGUGGUGGUGGUGGGGGAGGUGGUGGUGGAGGUGAUGGAGGUGGUGGGGGAGGUGAUGGAGGUGGUGGUUGUGGUGGAGGUGGUGGAGGGGAUGGAGGUGGUGGUGGAGGGGGUGGUGGAGGUGGUGGGGGAGGUGAUGGAGGUGGUGGAGGGGGUGGUGGAGGUGGUGGUGGAGGUGAUGGAGGUGGUGGUUGUGGUGGAGGUGGUGGAGGAGGUGAUGGAGGUGGUGGGGGAGGUGAUGGAGGUGGUGGAGGUGGUGGGGGAGGUGAUGGAGGUGGAGGUGGUGGCGGAGGUGGUGGAGGUGAUGGAGGUCGAGGUGGAGGUGAUGGAGGUGGGGGUGGUGGUGGAGGUGAUGGCGGUGGAGGUGGAGGGGGUGGUGGAGGUGGUGGGGGUGGUGGUGGAGGUGGUGGUGGAGAUGGCGGUGGAGGUGGUGGUGGUGGAGGGGAUGGAGGUGGUGGUGGAGGUGAUGGAGGUGGUGGUGGUGGUGGUGGGGGAGGUGGUGGUGGAGGUGGGGGAGGUGAUGGAGGUGGAGGUGGUGGCGGAGGUGGUGGAGGUGAUGGAGGUGGUGGAGGGGGUGGUGGAGGUGGUGGGGGUGGAGGUGGUGGUGGAGGUGAUGGAGGUGGUGGUGGAGGUGGAGGUGAUGUCGAUGACCACAUUUAGGGAGUGAACAUGUCUGGUUCACUUUCCAGCCACAGAUGAGGAAACUGAGCACAGAGAGGUAGGAGAACUGGGUGAGGCCUGAGGCUGCCCCUGACAACGACUGAGGGGGGCCCACCUUCCUGUCUGCUGUCAUCCAGAGGCUCUGCUCUGUCCCAGACUCAGUUCCAUCUGGAUUCCCUCUUUGUCCAUCAGGGUCCCAUCCCAGGCCUUGGUGGCCCUUGUGGCCUGGUGCCUACAACAGGCUCAGGAACACUUGUCGAAGGAAGAGCAUCCAGGCGUGAGUGGCCCUCACCCCAUGGGUCUUCCCUCCUUGGUCUGAAGUGGGGAGGGGGCUGUCUCUGCUGUCACCUCCCACAGAUGGCCUUUGAGCCUGUCCUCGCCCCUGGCGGCCCCACCUCCCGUGUUCAGGAGCAGAAUACAGCAGUGGCUCCAGGGCACCCUCGUGUGGCGAGUUCCAGCACUGGCAGAGCUCAGACCCAGGUCUGCACAUGUGUGCCAGAGCGAGGUGGGCCUGAGCUGGCUGUGUGUGCUUCUGCAGCCGCCGUCCUGACCUGCAGAUCCAGUGCCUGCUGUGGGGCCGCGACCCUGUGUGCCUUCUGAGCUGCAGCAGGGCACAGCCUGAGGCUGGGAGUGCAGCACUCCUGCUGUGGGGGUGCCCAUGACUCACAGGGCCGGACUUUCCGGGGCUGGUCGGCAGGAGGGUCCACAGCAGGCACUGUCUCCGUCACUCUCCGAGACAGCCCGGUGCCCUCCCCAAGUGGCUGAGGCUCGGGCAUAAACUCCUGUGGAGGUGCAGCC
This 6328-nucleotide long non-coding RNA is filed under the name Sus scrofa (pig). RNAcentral describes it as "lncRNA (ENSSSCG00035016933.1)". Lineage: Eukaryota; Metazoa; Chordata; Mammalia; Artiodactyla; Suidae. The record is from RNAcentral.